Molecule: non-coding RNA, 907 nt
Organism: Biomphalaria pfeifferi
Lineage: Eukaryota; Metazoa; Mollusca; Gastropoda; Planorbidae
Source: the annotation of a GenBank genome assembly
AUUCAAAGUAAUUAAUUUAAUAUUCUUGAUGGAAGCUUUUUAAAAGACCAGUAUAGCAUUUCAGUAAGACGACAAUUAAAUAAUUUCACUAAGCAAACAAAUAAACAAAAUACCAAUAUUAUACAUCAAUAUAUACCAUAAACAUCUAAGGGAUACAAUACCAAAGUACGUCUGCAUACUGAUUGCAAAAUUUGACAGAAUGUCCAAAACAUGUACAGACGCAUGACAAUUAAUAUGUUGAAUAAAAUAAUGAAAUCGACCCAUAAUAAUCUUUUUUUUUUGGUAUCAUUUUUAAACACAUUUAUUUUUUCAGGUAAAAUUGACUUACUAAAUAGUCUAUAUUUCAUUUUGUGCAAUGCAUGUUUGUGCAUGAGAACAAAACAAAUAGCAAAAACAAAACAAAACAUUGAAAGAUCAGUUACUUCAAUCAAUCAACCACAUUGCUAUAGGUCUAGGGAAUAAUUUUGAGCACAGAAUAUAUAGUUCUAAAUGAUACGCAGAUUGAAAGCACAGAAAACUGUUAAGUUUAUUUUGUAGAAAAAAAAUACCAUAAAUAAGGAUGACCUAUUUACAAGUACACACACAACAAUAACAAAUAGGGUUUUGCAUUGGGCAUACACAUAGCAAUGAUGAAAUGAAUACAAAUUGACAAUUCUAUAAAUGUUUAUAAAUGCAUGUGUUAGAGUCAAUGCGUUCAAUACGUUGUGGCAAGACAAUAAACAAAAUCAUUGACAACAAUGACGUCAAGUCCUUCAAUGGAAUGGAUUUCUGAUUAGCGAUUAUUUAAGUAAACCUAGUGUCUAGUAUGUGCCUAGUGAGAGACUAGAGAGUGCCUAGUGAGUGUCUAGUGAAUGUUUAGUGAGUGUCUAGUGAAUGUUCAGAAAGUGUCUAGUGAGUGUCUAGUAUG